RNAcentral lists this long non-coding RNA (1097 nucleotides) under Sinocyclocheilus rhinocerous. RNAcentral describes it as "lncRNA (ENSSRHG00000020549.1)". Lineage: Eukaryota; Metazoa; Chordata; Actinopteri; Cypriniformes; Cyprinidae. The record is from RNAcentral.
AACUGUGAUUUUGUUUGCCAUCAUCUGCAUUCAUGAACAGAGUGACAACUACAUGCCCACUUUGUCAGAAGGAGUAUUUCCACCUUCAGCAGCAUCUUAAAAAAUCACACCACUUGGCAAACCGUGAGGAACUCUGCCUCAUCGUUCUUUACAGCUCUGGGCGUAUUAACAGCAAAUUGAAAUGCCCUCAUUGUGCCAAGGAUCUGGUUCGUCUGGAUAAGCAUUUCGCUUUCUUCCACAACCUGAGUGCUGUGGACCGUCAAGCACAACUAAAACGUGCCAAACAACAAAGGGUGCUGGAACUCCUUGCGACUCUCCGGGCCUCACAUCCACAUCCACCAAUGCUGACAAGCCUGGAUGUGCAAAUGAGCAACAAAGCUGAGGAACAUCCAGACGUCCCCCAGAAUGUUCCGGCAGCCCCUGCCAAUGAUCCCGCAGCUCCUGCAGCCAAGACACGAUCCAGGACAGCCACUAGUUUGAGCUCUGGAAUGAAAAAAUACAGAAUAACGCGACAAAUUGCAGAUAUCGCAGCUCUGAGAAGGAGGAUAAGGGCCAUGAAAUAUGAAAGGGCGCCUUCCAGGUUUGUUUGUGGUGUGACCAAUUCCACAGCUAUAAAACACAAAUUGGAGCACUUGGACCAUUUUCUAAAGUGGAUCCUGAAAACAAGAUCGAAGUGGGUGCGUGCAUCUCUGAGCUAUGCCAUCAUGAUGAUAAAGAACAUUAAGAAGCAUGUGACACGUGGCAGUAUGACCCGCCAGCAAGAAGUUGGUCAAGACACAAAGGCAGUUUCCUCAUGCCAGUGAGGACGAGCUGCCAGACCGACGCACGAUUUCUCAGAGAGCUCACUACUGAUGCCUUUGGACCUCCAGUACAUGGCUCUCUGAACAUGAUGGAUGAAGCUAGACUGAUGUGCUGUCGCAUGUCCAUGCCACUCCAAAGAUAAAUACGUUACAUGUAGACCAGGUUCUGACAGCUUCUGUUUAUUGUUACAGCAUUGUUUCAGGCAUUUUAUUAUUUGCUGCUUGUCUUUUCUUCUGUCAUAUAAUCUUUUUCUCGUAACCAUAAGCUUGCGUUUUUGUUGUUAAUACAGUACAGCU